This is a non-coding RNA of Callorhinus ursinus (northern fur seal), 1650 nucleotides long. The record is from RefSeq and is a predicted model, not a curated record. NCBI's taxonomy places the organism in Eukaryota, Metazoa, Chordata, Mammalia, Carnivora, Otariidae.
AAUCCACUGAGACUGUUGAGCUUGGUGCCAGGCACAGAGUAAAUAUCAAGUGUUCUUGUUAUUUUUUUUUAAGGGACUGUUACUUAUUCAGCAUGUUGAGUGCCUCCUGUACUUCUGGCAUUGGGGGUGAGGGGACAGCAAAUACCAGAAUUGUGUUCCAGUGAAACUGGCCAGUGCUAUCAUAUUUCCAGAGAGAAGGGAGGACCAACCGUGAAGUGGCAACAGACUCAUUGUACAAGUGAAAAAACAAGCUCAAGAGAGGUUGCGUGGUUUGCCUGAGGGCACACAGCUAGUUUGAGAGAGGGGCCGGACUGGAGUUAGAAAUCGCAGGGUGGAAGCCCCUCCAGUGGGUCUUGCUUUGGUGGUUUUCCAGAUUUUCAGAAUCAAGGGGAGAAUGGAGGGUCGCUCGGGGUUUGGAAACACAAGUGACAAGCUCAGGGAAGGUGGCCGAGUGUCUCCCAGCUCCACGAGGAGGAGACACUCUGAGCUAUGGGAUUUAAACAAGGGGGUUUGGCUAGGCUCUCUUCCCCCACCCCGGUCCACCUCCCAGCCAGGAACCCAGUGGAUCAGAGCUGAGGCUUUUCCUUCUGGGAAGGUUCCAGAUGGGUCUAGACAGGUUCAGAGAGUGGCCCAGAAGCAGGAGAACGGAAAUUGAGCUUUGCCUUCCCAGGAUUCCCAGAGCUGCUGUUUAACUUUGAGGAGUUGACUGGGUUCCGCCCUGCCUCUUGCAAGUCUGAACUCCCAGAAUGAUUAACCACUCGGUGCGGAGUCCCAGCCUCUGCCAGAAUCCGACCUACCCACCCUGUGUGUUCCAGGCAGGAGCUUGCCACACUGGACAACAAGGAUGAUGAAAUUUUUGUCCACUUGGCAAAUAUUUGCUGAGCACCCCUCUGUGUCGGGGACAGCCGGACAAUUCCAACCUUGUCGAACCAGCUGCACGGGAAUGUGAGCUCACUCCUUGGAUCGUUGCCACGAGGGUUCAUGGCCCGAAGCCCCCGCCCCACACACAGUGGACUGAAUCAUGAAUCAAUGUACUGAUUUGGUCCUGGUGCUUGGAAUCAGUUCUGCACAAGGCCCCAGAAGGUCUGCCUUUCAGAUCCUUCUGGGCGGGGCCUCGGUCAUCUAGUCUGAGAAAGGGGAGCAAAUUCUAGGGGUGAUGUCAGAUACUGAUGAAUUCGAAGCGCCAGACAGGAACUGUACAGAUCAGCAACUUAACUGACACCACCUUCACAAAUGACCAGUUGACCUUACCAGCAACGGGAUGAACUGACACGUGUCCUCCUCAUCGGAGGCAUGAGGACACGGCUCUGCUUCUGGGGGUUCCUGCCCAAAAUGCACACAAUGAGUGUAAUCAUGAGGAAGUAUCAGACAAACCCAAACCGAGGGCAUUCUACAAAAUAAACAGUCCAUUCUCCUCAAAAAUGGGAGCCAAAGAAAGACUGAAGAACUGUUCCAGAUCAGAAGAGUAAAGAGCCAUGACAACGGAAUGCGUUAUUUGCUGGAUGGAUCCUAAAGGACUUUUCCCCUUCUUUUGCUUAUAAAGGACAUUAGCAAGACAAAUGGAGAUUUGAAGAAAUCUGCAGAUCAGUUAAUGGUAUUGUACCGAUGCUCCUUUCCUGACGUUGGUAAUUGCACUGUGGUUAUUUAAAA